This 2989-nucleotide long non-coding RNA is filed under the name Mus musculus (house mouse). RNAcentral describes it as "long non-coding RNA chr12:52962448-52965437". The record is from RNAcentral. Lineage: Eukaryota; Metazoa; Chordata; Mammalia; Rodentia; Muridae.
UGCACCACGUUGACAGUCACCGCAGAGAGCAGGGAGUACCUUUAUUACUGAGGAAUCUGUUUCUCUAUAAACCAACCUUUUCUUACUUGCCCCAAUACUUCCCUGGACGUCCACGAUCUGUUCUGAGAAAGCUUAGGGCUCCCCUUUAAAUGGAGAAGACUUAGUCUUCAAAUAGUAUACCAGGCAACAAUUGAUCUUUUAUGGCAACGUUCUUGUAGCCACUAACCUUUGCUGGGAUGAAAUGGUAAAUCCUCAGAUACACAUCUACUGCACACCUAAGAAUCCAAGUGGAGAACUUGAUCAGGAGCAGGGAAGGAGGCCAAUGAAAAUGGGCUUUGAACAGAGAAGAACAUAUUAGAAAGGUCUUGGGAGUCACAAAUAACUAGAAGGGACAAGGAGACUGAAGCAAAAAAACCAGACAGACAGUGUAAAGAGUAUUUAGACUUUUCCUCGUAGAGAACAAAAUUUAGAGAAAGGCUUGAAAAUGAUGUUCUAGAGAACAACUUGAAAGGGGUGUUCUAGAAAAGUCUUGGAAGUGAUGUUCCAGAAACACAUCACAGUACUCAUUUGAUUUGACCUUUUUUGGUUUUGAGGUGACAUGUUAGUAAGAAGAUGUGGUUACAUGGGUUCUACUCAUUUGUAUCUCAGGGAUUUCACAAGAGAUGAGAAUUAUUACAAGAUCAACAGCCUCAAAGAGGCAGAGCAUCAAGUUAUCCCAAACAAUGUCUCCUUGGACAGAAAAAGAGGAAAGUGCGAACUCAUAUUCACUGGCUUUUUUUCUGAGUUUAUAUCGUCCUAUCUGACUUCAUCUGAAUUGUGAGAAACUGUGUAGAAAGCACCUGUCCUUUCUGCGUCGAUUUGUGCAGGUUGUCUUUGACUCACAUUUCAGACUUCGUCAAAUUUUAAGUACAAGACAAUAACACUGUAUUCACACGUGGAUAGUGCAUGGGAAAUGUAGAAAUAGAACAGUGGCUGUUCUCAUUAGGACAGGGUUCUCUAUUUAGGGGGAAUAAGAGAACCACCUCCCCUAUGAAAUGUUUGCAUUUCACUCUGUUGCUUUAAUGUGUAAUGACAGUAUCUGCAAAGAGCACACGUUUUCUCUGGCGGGUUACAUGAUAUCCCCAAGACUCUCUCCCCCUCCCCCCCAGGGAGGAGGCUGCCCCUUGGACUGUCAGCACUGUUUGCGGAUUUUAUUUGGAUAGUGACCGGUGAGCACAGGCCUUGAGAGGCAUCGUUCAUCUUCCGAAACUUUUCUUUCUGCCAUGAGAAUGGCCUGUCCAAACAGAGGCUGAUCCUGGAUCCAAGAUGAAGACAACAGAUGGAGAUGACCUACGGCUCACUCGUAAACAUCCUUACCAGGCAUGUAGCACAACCAGGAUGUCAACCGUUACUGCAACAAAACUUCCCAAGUACAUAGUUGCCAAAAGCUUAAGAAGUAUUUUCCUAAACUUAAGCUAAAAUCAAGCCACUCUUGACUUCUGCUGUCUCCUAAAAUCUAAGUCUUCCUCUAGCAUUGGAUGCGUGCUCAUAAACCUUCCAUAGCUCGUUAUUUCAAUUUUGAAAACUUUUGUAUUUCCAAUGUAGUCUGUACUCCAACCUGUAUGUUCGUAUGUCCUACUCAGCCUCUAUCAAUAAUUGGGCAAGUUCCUUUUCUGUCAUACAAACUCUAAAAGAAUUUUUUUGGCCAGUAAAAUUUAAUGGCUACAAAUAACUUACUUCUGGGAUUAAACAGCCAUUAAAUCUCAGAUUUACCAUAGACUUGACUGAAUCAACUUGGACAAAUUACUCGUGCUGUUUCAGCUUUGAUUUCCUUAUCAACAAAGUGGGCAUGUUGAGUGCCCAGUUCCCCGGGCUGUACCACUAACUAGCACUGGGCAGGCAGAUGCUCAUAGAUUAUCUGUUGCAUAGUAAACGCUCAAGGUUGGCUGGUCUUAUGCUCUUGACUCCAUCUGGAAUGUUUGAACUUCUUCUGAUCCAUCUUGGUUUUAACUAAACUUCAAGUCUGAGUUCAAAGCCCACUUUCUCUAUAUUAUCUUCCCAUAUAUAAAAAAAAUCAUUAUUUCUUUUUAUAAGCUAGGCAUUUGUUCUUGCUUCUAGUCUUUUAGAAGGUAAACAGUGAAAUGAGCACAUUCUAUGUUUUUCUAUAGGCUAAUAACGUCACAGAUUUUCAUCUAAUUGGCAGACUGUAUUUUCCCUCUUGUGGUUAUUAAUUCUGGGAGAUAAAAUUUUGUUUUAAAAAAUGAUCAUGAUUUUAACACAAUAUUAGUUAUAGACCAUUCUGGAAAUGGUUGCCUGUCAUCUAAUUUAACCAAUCUAAUCGAUUGGUUGGUUGGUUGAUUGAUUGGUUGAGUGUGUGUGUGUGCUCGCGCCUGUGUAUGUAUGGGUUUGUGUGUACUGAAUGUGUGCAGGUACCUGCAAAGGCUAGAAGGUGUUGAAUGCCCUGGAACUGGAGUUAUAGGAGGCUGUGAGCCACUUGAUAAUGGUGUUGGGAACCAAACCCAAUUACUGUGCAAGAGCAUUUAGUAGUCUUAACAACCAAGCCAGUUCUGUGGCUCAUGGUUUUCUCUAUAAAGCAUCCCAAACUUGAAUCAUUUAGAAGUUAAAGAAGUGAGGCCCAGGUACUGGGCUUAGUUUUCAGCAUAAGACUUGAAUGAUCACAUUAUUGCUGACUUUAAUAAGGAGAAACUCAAAAGGGAAUAUCAUUCCUAGUUAAAUGAAGUGUGCAUUCUGCCAAGGUCAAGCUGCCUUGUAUUAUUUGAGACUCACUGCUGACUACUUUAUUAAUUGUUUUCAGACUGGAAAAUGAAGUUAUAGCCUUUCCGGGAAACUCUGGGAAUCAAUUUAUUUUAGUGAGGAUGGGGGCAUGGGAGAGCAGCUUGCAAUUCUGUGCAACUGUGAAGAGCAAGGAAUUAUGGGAAGUUUGCUGUAUAAGUCAUGGUCAAAGUAAAAGUGCUUGCUUUGGGAAUUAAGGCAUAUAUGAAUUAUGUGC